This 455-nucleotide ribosomal RNA is filed under the name uncultured bacterium. Its description in RNAcentral is "bacterial SSU rRNA". It matches the Rfam family "Bacterial small subunit ribosomal RNA", at positions 340 to 786 of the family's 1533-position model. The record is from RNAcentral.
UACGGGAGGCAGCAGUGGGGAAUAUUGCACAAUGGGCGCAAGCCUGAUGCAGCCAUGCCGCGUGUAUGAAAAAGGCCUUCGGGUUGUAAAGUACUUUCAGUCGUGAGGAAGGUGUUAAGGUUAAUAACCUUAGCAAUUGACGUUAGCGACAGAAGAAGCACCGGCUAACUCCGUGCCAGCAGCCGCGGUAAUACGGAGGGUGCGAGCGUUAAUCGGAAUUACUGGGCGUAAAGGGCACGCAGGCGGUUAAUUAAGUUGGAUGUGAAAUCCCCGGGCUUAACCUGGGAAUGGCAUUCAAGACUGGUUAGCUAGAGUCUUGUAGAGGGGGUAGAAUUCCGAUGUGUAGCGGUGAAAUGCGUAGAGAUGUGGAGGAAUACCGGUGGCGAAGGCGGCCCCUGGACAAAGACUGACGCUCAUGUGCGAAAGCGUGGGGAGCGAAACAGGGAUUAGAUACC